Molecule: transfer RNA, 81 nt
Filed under: Felis catus (domestic cat)
Lineage: Eukaryota; Metazoa; Chordata; Mammalia; Carnivora; Felidae
Also listed under: 1 other name
Rfam family: tRNA
About the family: Transfer RNA (tRNA) molecules are approximately 80 nucleotides in length. Their secondary structure includes four short double-helical elements and three loops (D, anti-codon, and T loops). Further hydrogen bonds mediate the characteristic L-shaped molecular structure. tRNAs have two regions of fundamental functional importance: the anti-codon, which is responsible for specific mRNA codon recognition, and the 3' end, to which the tRNAs corresponding amino acid is attached (by aminoacyl-tRNA synthetases). tRNAs cope with the degeneracy of the genetic code in two manners: having more than one tRNA (with a specific anti-codon) for a particular amino acid; and 'wobble' base-pairing, i.e. permitting non-standard base-pairing at the 3rd anti-codon position.
Source: Rfam by way of RNAcentral
GCCUGGGUGGCUCAGUUGGUUGAGCAUCUGACUUCAGCUCAGGUCACGAUCUCACUGUGAGUUUGAGCCCCGCAUUGGGCU